This is a long non-coding RNA of Vidua macroura (Pin-tailed whydah), 1525 nucleotides long. RefSeq lists it as uncharacterized. Lineage: Eukaryota; Metazoa; Chordata; Aves; Passeriformes; Viduidae. The record is from RefSeq and is a predicted model, not a curated record. The transcript has 3 exons.
UUGGUUUGGGGAGGGGUCUGGAGGGUCCUGGAAGGGUCCUGGGUGGGGUCUUGGGAAGGGCCUGGGGGGUCCCAGGGGACAUCCUGGGCUGGGCCCGAUUGGGGUCUGGGGGCUCCCAGGGGGUCCUGGGCCAACCUUGGAGGGCUCAGGGGGGUUUGGGGUUCCUGGAGGGGUCCUGGGGGAGAUUUGGGGGUCCCGAGGGGUCCCAGGCCCACCCUGAACCGGGGUCUGGGGGUUUUUGGGGGGAGGGGGCACAAAAGGGGUUCCCCUUCCCCGUUUUUGGGGGGUCUCCCAUGGUGCCCCCUACCCAAAAAGCUCCGAGGGCCCCUGAAGUGGCUCCUGUUCCACCGGCCGGUGCCCCCGGAUCCAGGACGGCCCCCAGGGAGUCUGGGGGGGGGGAAGAGGCGCAGCGGCAGCAGGGAGCAGCCGGAGAAGAGCAGAGAAGGAAUCGCGGGGCCCUGGCGCUGCCUGAAGUCGCCGCAGCCCCGGGAGUAUCGCCCCCCAUCCCGCAGCCCAGGUGUUGGUAAUGCCGCUCUUGAAAUGAGUCCCCUUGUCUGACUCAGUCCUCUCAGGGGUGCCAUGCCUCCCCAGGACUUGCUUUUCCAGGCCCAGGAUGGUGUUGGGGCAGUGCUGUGAGGCACAGGGGAGGUCUCCAAGCAUCCCGUGGUGGCUUCUACCAUGGUGAGCACGUAGCGCUUGCCUUGGCGUGUCUGGGGCAGUGUGACGUGGUCAAUCUGCCAGGCCUCCCCAUACUUGUACUUGGACCCCCGCCCACCAUAGCACAGGGGCUUCACCCGCUUGGCCUCCUUGAUCACAGCACACGUCUCACAGUCAUGGAUAACCUGAGAAAUCCUGUCCGUGCUUAGAUCCACCCCUCGGUCUCAUGCCCACUUAUAGGUGGCAUCUCUGCCCUGAUGACCUGAGGCAUCGUGAGCCCAUCGAGCCAGGAACAACUGCCCCUUGUGAUGCCAAUCCAAGUCUAUCUUUGACACCUCUGUCUUUGCAGCCUGAUCUACCUGCUCGUUGUUUAAGUGCUCCUGAUUAGCCCGACUCUUGUAGACAUUGGCAUCUACAUGGCAGACUUCCACAGGUACCUUCUCCAUCCGAGAGGCAAUGUCUUUCCACUCAUCAGCAUUCCAGAUUGGUUUUCCUCUAAGCUGCCAGUUGGCCUUUUUCCUCCUUUCCAGGCAGCCCCACAGAGCAUUGGCUACCAUCCAUGAAUCGGUAUAAAGGCAGAGUUUUGGCCAUUUCUCUCUCUCAGCAAUGUCCAGGGCCAGCUGAACGGCCUUGAGUUCAGCAAGUUGACUUGAUCCACCUUCUCCUCAGUAGCUUGUGCAGCCUGUCGUGUGGGGCUCCAUACGGCUGCUUUCCACUUCUGGUUCAUCCCUACGAUGCGACAGGAACCGUCCGUGAAAAGAGCGUAGCGUGUUUCCUCUGCUGGUAGAUGGUUGUAUGGUGGAGCUUCUUCAGCCCAUGCCACUUGUUCCUGCUCCUCUUCAUCAGUGAGACCAAAGUUUUCACCUUC